GUGGGAUCUUAGUUCUCUGACCAGGUAUUGAACCCACACCCCUUGCACUGGAAGCACAGAGUCUCAACCACUAGACCACCAGGGAAGUCCCAAGAGGCCAGGCUGUCCUUUGUGGAAGGAAGACGGCUUUCAGCGUGGCUGGGACUGGUUAUCUGUGUGGCCUUCGGUGGUCUUAUGAGUAAAGUGCAAAAAAAAAAAAAGAAAGCCUUCUAAGAUGAGACCCAUCAAUUUCAAUGCUACAAUAUUUAGAGUUGUUCCUCACUAAGGAAGAAGUUGGCUUAAUUUCCAGGCAAAGAUAAGCUCCUUGAAGGUAGGUGUUAUACUUUUUUAUGGAUUCCAGCAAGUACUCAGUGCCUAGAUGAAUGAGAGUUUUAAACAUAAGUAUAAUG
Long non-coding RNA from Orcinus orca (killer whale), 389 nucleotides. RefSeq lists it as uncharacterized. Lineage: Eukaryota; Metazoa; Chordata; Mammalia; Artiodactyla; Delphinidae. The record is from RefSeq and is a predicted model, not a curated record. The transcript is spliced from 3 exons.